Molecule: ribosomal RNA, 446 nt
Filed under: uncultured bacterium
Lineage: Bacteria
Description: partial 16S ribosomal RNA
Rfam family: Bacterial small subunit ribosomal RNA
Source: RNAcentral
CCUACGGGAGGCAGCAGUCGAGAAUCAUUCACAAUGGGGGAAACCCUGAUGGUGCGACGCCGCGUGGGGGAAUGAAGGUCUUCGGAUUGUAAACCCCUGUCAUGUGGGAGCAAAUUAAAAAGAUAGUACCACAAGAGGAAGAGACGGCUAACUCUGUGCCACCAGCCGCGGUAAUACAGAGGUCUCAAGCGUUGUUCGGAAUCACUGGGCGUAAAGCGUGCGUAGGCUGUUGCGUAAGUCGCGUGUGAAAGGCGCGGGCUCAACCCGCGGACGGCACAUGAUACUGCGAGACUAGAGUGAUGGAGGGGGAACCGGAAUUCUCGGUGUAGCAGUGAAAUGCGUAGAUAUCGAGAGGAACACUCGUGGCGAAGGCGGGUUCCUGGACAGUAACUGACGCUGAGGCACGAAGGCCAGGGGAGCGAAAGGGAUUAGAUACCCUGGUAGUC